GUUCCUGCAGGAGCUGCCCCCUCUCCUGGAGUCCCUCCCGGGGCCCUUCCGGCGCCACAAGCUGCUCCCACGGCUGCUCGAGGCCCUGGAGCUGGGCAGCGCUGACGCCAGUGCCCUGCCCCCCCUGCUGCAGGUGGCGAAGGUCCUGGACCCCCCCGAGUACCAGGAGCGAAUCGUCCCCGUCCUCGUCCGGCUCUUCUCGUCCCCUGAGCGGGGCUUGCGCCUGCGCCUGCUGCAGCUGCUUGAGGAGUUCAUUGAGUUCCUGCCUGACGCCACAGUGGAUUCCCAAAUUUUCCCCCACGUUGCCCACGGGUUCCUCGACUCCAACCCGGCCAUCCGUGAGCAGACGGUCAAGGUGGGCCCCCAAAAUCAUCCAGGAGUCUCCAAAUCAUUGGGGAGGGAACCCCCUCCCCAAUGACCCAGCACCCAAAAAAUCACCUGGGAACCCCCUCCCCAAUGACCCAGCACCCACAAAAUCACCUGGGAACCCCCUAAAUCCCCCAGGACCCCCAAACCUCCUGGGACACCCUCAGAAGUCACCUGGGGAUCCCUCAAAACCACCUGGAGAGUUUUCUAAAAAUCAAAUUGCGACCCCCCAAACCCACCUGGGGACCCCCCUGAAUCACCUAGGCGCUCCCUAAAUGGGUGGGACAGAAUGGGGACCUCCCCCCCCCAAAUGGGUGGGACUUUCUGAUCACCUGGAAACCCCCUCCCUAAAUAAUUUGGGAACUCCUUCCAAAACCACCUGUGGGCCCCCAAAACGAGUGGGACUCCCUCACCUGGGCACCCCUAAAUGGGUUGGGUGGGGUAGGACCCCCCCCCAGUUCCAUCUGGGGGUGCCCCCU
Long non-coding RNA from Cyanistes caeruleus (blue tit), 845 nucleotides. The record is from Ensembl. Lineage: Eukaryota; Metazoa; Chordata; Aves; Passeriformes; Paridae.